UUCUGAAUCACUUAAUUUCCCUUAAGUUGAAUAGAUGACAUGUUUGGCCUUCAGACGGUGUGGAUUAUGAAAAGUCAAGCACUCUAACACUUGGCAGCAGAGGCUUCAUGGAAUACCUACUCCCCACCUCUGCCAAUAACAUUUUUAAGGAGAUUCGGUUUGAUUAAACUAUACAAGGUAAAUAAUGAAUCCAGCCUGCCCAGGAUAUAUCAGGUUGCAUAGUGUGAUGAAACACAUACCAUCCUGAAUGUUCUUCCAAAAGAACAUGUACAGAAAAUGCUGUCCUUCUGCCAGAAUACAGGCUCCUUGCCAACCCCCACCACUCUCCACCUUGAGACCAAACACUCAGCAAGCUGAAGCUUGCAGGCCACGGUGACUGGCUCCAUGCUGCCUUGGGAAGCCCUACAUGACCUCUACAUGGUCCUUCUUCAGUAUGUGAAGUACAGAGGCAACACCAGGACAUUUUGAAGGGCAAAAGAAGGUUCAAUGGGGCAAUUUCCAAGGCAUCUUGCUCCACUGCUGGUAAGCAAUUAGCAGGCUUUCUACAGGGACUUCUCAAAAGAGGAUCCAGAAGGCAGGCUCAGCAUUGCAGCCUGGCUGCAGGCCACAGUGUGGCAGACGCAUGUAUUCAUGGGCAUGUCAAAUACAUCACUUCAAUACGAAAUUCAUAGGCCCAACAUUCAUCUGCGAGAUUGAACACUGGGUAGCUCAAAAGCUAGUCUUCUGAAAGCAUCCUACAAAACACCCGAAGUUGCCGUUCCAGAAUUGCUAUAAUUUCACGACUGUGCAAGCUGUACUAGUAGUACACAGGCAAAGGGAUAGAAAAAAGAUUAUAUUAAUGCUCAAGGGGGAAAAGCAAGAUUAUAAAGGACUUAGCAGAGCUAUGUUCUGAUAAUAAACCAAGAGCAUUUAGGACCCAACCUAGAAAAAAAUGGAUUUACAGCCGAAGUCUUUCCUGUUUGGGGCUACAGCAUCAUUCUGUCAUUCUAACCACAUUUAUCCUGAACCUCCCCCCACCACCCGCUGCCCAUGUGCUGGCCACCGUGCUGGGAUCAACAAAACUGAAUGAGACACAGGACCUGAUACUGGGGAGCUGACCAUCUAGCAGGUGACGUAUGGAUGGAUGAAGCAUCUUAGGACAUCUAAAGAAAGAGAUCACUCCUCCAUACUGAUCCUAAAGUUGACCUCCAGAUAACAUUCUGUCACAUGCAUGUGCACCAGAGAUGGGGAGAACACACAGAAUGGGAAGAACCACAACUGUUUAGGUGCAUGAAUUCUACAAUUUGUAAAAACUCAUUGUUUUUCACCUAGUAUAUGUAAGAAUUGAAUAAUAACACAGAGAAAUAAAUUCUAGCAUUAAAGAAUAAACCAGAAAUCUCCUUAAAGGAACACAAGUAACAAAGCCUGGCAGGGGUGGGAAACAGCAGAAAUUACCACAUUUUGCUUGGAUCUUGAAAAUUGUGAAUUCUCAGUGAAGUCCAAUUUUCACUUUUUAAUAAUGGAGCUCUAUAACAUCUUAAAACUCUGGGUUUAUGUAUUUUUAUUAUCAACUCUAUAAAUUCAAUAAAGAAGUGGAGUAAAGGUUCAGGACAAGAAGAAGGAGAAAAGAACAGUUAAAAAUUUGGGAAAUACUAGCACUUCAUUCUUUACCAAGUUGUCACUCUAUCACUGCAAGCGUGAGGAUUGGUGAAAAGUAUUAAGCAGACUAAGAUUGCACCCCAGAGAGCCCAGGCUUAUACAACCAGCACACUUCCCCCACUAACUGACAUACUCAACUAAUAACUACUGAAUGUUGCCCAUUGGCCAGCCGCAUCCAACCCUUAUCCCACUGCAUCCUCAAAUCUGCCACCUUACAGAUGAAGAAAUGGAAAUGUAAACAAGUUAGGUGACUAAGAACAGAGUGUAAUGAGCAUCGUGGUUGACUCCCUGCCAUUCAUGCACAUCAUGCUAAUAUAAAGUAAUCAGGCUACAUGAUCCCCAGCCAAGAAUGAGUUCAAGAAUAUUCCUGGGACAUAUUUCUGCUGGAAGUCUCCCAGGGAAAGUUUCCCUUUCCUGAGAGCGGGCUCCCCAGUCAGAGAUCUCUCUCUUCUGGUCUAGCAACAAUGUGAAUGCAUUCUGCUCCCGAGGAGAAUAACACCGAGGAUGGCAAACAGGCAAGGGGGAAAGAUGGCAAGCGUCCUUGAUGACACCACUUAGCUGCCAACCCCACCAACCCACAGCUAGCCCAACUUCUGGACUUCGUGUUAUGAGAUAAUAAAUUUCCUAAGCAUCUGUGCUGGGAUGAGUCAGGUUCUCUUUCAUUUUCAUCAAAAGCAUCUUGGCUGAUACAAAAAGCCAGGAUCCAAACCCAGGUCUGUGUGAUUACCAAGAACCUACUCAUUCCAAGAGUUUUCUAGUCUGUCUCUGGUAUGCAUAAAGUCCCGAAGGGUUUCCAAGUCAACAGCUGCAGUGGUCCUGGAGUCAGACAGACUUGGACUAAAUCCCAGAUCUGCCACUAAUUAGCUGGGUGAUUGUGGGCAAAUUACCUCUCCUUUUUAUGCCUGUUACCUCAUCUGAAAAAUGGGGAUAAUCAUUGCACCUGCCACAAAGAGCUGUUUGAAGACCAAAGGAAAUUUCCACACAGUCGGUGCUCAGUGAUCAUUAGUUUUCAUGAGCAGGGGAACUGAAUGAUUUUUGGUGGCUAGAUUCUUUUGAUCAGAAUCUUUGUAAUGUUUUGAAUAGAGUAACAUUUACUUUCUCCUGACAUAUCACAUCUAUGCCAAAAUAAAAAUACAAUGUGGCCAGGCGCGGUGGCUCACACCUGUAAUCCCAGCACUUUGGGAGGCCGAGGUGGGUGGAUCACCUGAGGUCAGGAGUUCGAGACCAGCCUGGCCAACAUGGUGAAACCCCGUCUCCAUUAAAAAUACAAAAAUUUGUUGGGCAUGGUGGCAAUCUGUAAUCCCAGCUACUCAGGAGGCUGAGGCAGGAGAAUCGCUUGAACCUGGGAGGCGGAGGUUGCAGUGAGCCGAGAUUGUGCUAUUGCACUCCAGCUGGGCAACAGAGCGAGGCUCCAUCUCAAAAAAAAAAAAAAUGUUUUCUUAAUGUUUGGCCUUGUCUGAGCUUUUGGCUUUUUAAUUAGAAAAUGCCUCAUUCCUUAUUGAAAGAACACAUCAUUCAAAAAAAUAUUUGAAAUGUCACCCAUAGUAUCAUGCUACCUAAUUAAACAAUUUUUGUUUUUUGAUAUUACCUCUGGCAUGUAAAAUGCACAUACCUACAAUUAUAGUGAACAUACUGUUUUGCUUCCUAUUAUUUUCACUUAAAUUAUAGCAUAUAUUGACAUGUUCUUUAUAAUUAUUUGCCUUAAUAGCUUUAUAAGAUUGAUAUAAUUUACUAUAUAUUCCCCCAGGAUUAAUAUUUUUGACAUAAAUUGCUUUCUUAUUUUUUGUCUUAGAGAUGACGCAGCAGUGAUCAUUUUGGCUUAUAUAUUUUGUUUUCUGUGCAUUAUUUCCUAAAGAGAAAAUUCCUAGGCAUGGAAUUCUGGGUCUAGGGCUAUGAAUUGUCUUAGUGCCUCCUGCUACAUAAUUCUCUCCAAAAGGAAUGUUCCAGUUUGUCAUGUGAACUUAAUCUUAACUACUCAAGACUGAAAUUGAGUUCCUCUAAGCAGUUACUUGGUUUGAAAUAUCACAUGAGCCUUUAUACUUUGGGGAAAUCAGUAUUUUGAUUGCCUUGCCAUGGGUUUCAAGCUUUAUAAGUGAAAUUCUGCUUUCUUCACUUGAGGGACUAAAAGUUCCCUCUUGAACCAAUCAGUCUUAUUUUUCAAAGGCUGUGAACUUUUAAAAGUCUGUCUGGUUUUAUCUCCCUAUUUUUCUUCAUGACUCUGACUUAAUUAUCAUAGACCCCCAAGGAUGCCUAAAUGCCUCAAGGACACCAUUUUAAAUGGAUGAUCAAACCCAACUUCCUACUUCUCUGUGAGAGGCACAUUUCUAAUCUGGGAGUGAGUAGUACAAUCACUCUGUCCAGACGGAGUAACACCGGUUUCCUAUAGCAAAAGCCUAGGUCCUUGGAAAACCACUGACUGCUUCAUGAAUUCCUUGGACAUUAAUUGGUGAAGUAACUAAGAAAAAUGCACCCCACACAAAGUUUAUUGUGGACCCCUCCUCAUUCUCCCAUGCAGCAAAAACAACUAAGCUUCUUUUCCCUUUGAGCAGGACAGUGGGUUUGGCUGUGCCAGGAUGAGUCUCCCGGGGGUAGAGAAAGCCUGAGUAUUUUUCUCUGGUGCUAAAUUUACCUGACUCCAGGGCAGAUGCCUCCAAGUCAUAGGCAAGGGGGUUAACACACUUGGAUGCUCCUAAAGGGACUUUGUCCAGCCUGCUGUGAGGUCUUUCCACCUUCUCAUGUUUCUAACAUGACCAUAAAAUCAAAUCUAAAUGCAAACAUUAAAAUGCAAGGCACUAUGACUAGGUCUAGGGUAGUCAUUCAAGUGAUGUGGAGCAGGCUUAUGUUUUUUUCUCCCUCCAGAUUAUCAUAGACAUGGGAACACAACAUUUAAACGCCCUGGUAGAAUUUCAAAAGUAUGUCUAGAGAUCCUAAUGGAGUCACAAACCCCAGAUUAUGACACACAUCAAGUUCAAGGGUCUAGAAACUUUUUCUGGAAAAGGUCAGAUAGUAAAUAAUUUAGACUUUGGGGGCCAUAUGGUCUUUGUUCUAACCAAUUCUACCAGCAUGCAAGCAGCCAUAGGCAUUUGGUAAGCAAAUGGGGCACAGAAUUUUUUAUUUCUUGUAGAGACAGGGUCUUGCUAUGUUGCCCAGCCAUGUUCCAAUAAAACUUUAUUAACAAACACAAGCACUGGAUUUGGCCUGAAGGCCAUAGUUUGCCAAUCCCUACUCUACUUACUGUGUGAAUAAUAAGAUGGGAAGACCUCCUGACUAUCAGCUCUGUAUUCUUCCAAUUUUCAGUUUGUGUUUGGUUCACAUCUUCAAUGUAUGUCUUUAUCAUGGGAUUUAGAAAGUGGAUGUUCAUUCAACCAGGCAUAUAAGAUUUUUCGUUGCCUACAGUUCUGCUCUUAAUUAGCCCUAUCUCCAUUAAGUAUGACUCAAGACUACAUUUCUUGAUAACGUAGAUGAAAUUGGUUAAGAAAAUUAAAAACUGGAAAGAGACAGGCAAUACAAAUCAGUUUUCAAGAAUUUGUGAUGAGCAAUUGAAUCCAGCCUUUUCUUUGAGAUGUGAGCAGACUCUGUUUUGAAUGGCUUCUCUGCGGAUAAGUAGACUUGAAAGCAGGGAAGCUGUCUGAUGCAGCAGAGAGGUUGUGAUGUUGAGGUAAUUAUUGAUGCCACCAAUAUCUGCCUGUGUGACCUUUCCUUGCACAAGUUAUUUAAUUUCCCUGGGAUUUGGUUUCCCCUUAUAUAAAGUAAGGGAUUUGGAUUAGAUGAAUUGGAUUAGAUGAGUCCUAAAUCUGCUCAAGCUUUGAACAUUUAAAAUUUUGUAUCAAGCAAUCUAUGCUGAGAGCUUUACAACAUAUCAGAAAGCAAGCGAUUUAGAGAGAGUUCUGCCUCUUGUGAAGCUCAAAUGCACAUCCUACGAAGGCUUCUCACUUUGGUUUUCCCUAAAACCAGGACAUUUUAGUCAUCUUAGGAAUCUCAAUUAUUAUGAAAAGUUUCCCAACUUAACAGGGACAGAUUUUCAUAAACAUAGAAGGGUGGGGGUGUCAGAAAACUUUACUAACAGAAGGUACUUCAAAUGGAGAAAUAUAGUGGGUGUUUUAGUCAAGGUUAUCCAGGAAAACAGAACCAAUAGAAUAUAUAGAGAGAGACAUAUAUAAGAAGAGAUGUAGAAAUUGGUUCAUGCAAUUAUGGAGACCAAGAAGCUCCGUGAUCUACCACUGCAAGCUGAAGACCAGGAAAGCUGGUGGCAUAACUCAGUCAGAAGGCCUGAGAGUAGGGGGCGAGGAGGUGAGAAAGAGGAUGGUAAUAGUGUAAGUCCCUGUCUGAGUCCAAAAGACGGAUGUCUCAGCUCAAGCAGAGAGAGCAAAUUGGCCCCUUCUUCACCUUUUUGUUCUAUUCAGGCCCUCAAAUAAUUGGAAAAUGCCCAGGCAUGGUGGAGGGCCAUCUGCUUUAUUUUGUUCACCAAGUCAAAUGCUAAUUUCUUCCCAAAAUACCCUCACCGACUCACCAGGAAUAAUGUUUUACCAGCUAUCUGGGCAUCCCUUAGCCCAGUCAAGUUAACACACAAAAUUAACCAUCAUGGUGGAAGGAUGGAGGCAUCACCCUACAGCCAUAGUUCUGAAUCCUGUUUUGGUUUGUACCAGUCUCCAAUGGUUCAUUAACAGUAAAUACUAUGGCAAAUAUGCAAUGAAGAUUUUUUCAUUAAAUAUUUAAAUUUUAGCAUGGCAUUUGAUUUAUACUUUUCAAUUGAUUGGUCCUUCACAACCAUGGAUUCAUAGUUUAAAAUGAGGUCAUGUCAAAAUGGAAGAAUAGUGACUAUGGUAAACACAAUGACUCAGACUAAUCCAAGGAUUCAUAUUGACAAGUGGGCUAUAAAAAUGUAGAUACAUCAGCCUACCAUUUAGCCCAAUAUUAGCAAUUUAGUUUCAGCAAAACAUCACCUAACACAUGAAAUCAGUGUUGUUAACUUGAAUGUUAUUGUUGGUGUUGUCUUGUUUGUAUUUAAUUAGUGCAUUUUUAAUGGUUCUAUAAUAAACAUAACCAUAAGAAAUGUAUGGCUACUUUCAUAUUUGUGCAUUUUUAUGUAAUGCUAUAAUAAAAAUAAUUUAAAUCAAAA
This 6757-nucleotide long non-coding RNA is filed under the name Homo sapiens (human). RNAcentral's name for it is "long non-coding RNA NONHSAT165633.1". The record is from RNAcentral. Lineage: Eukaryota; Metazoa; Chordata; Mammalia; Primates; Hominidae.